Molecule: long non-coding RNA, 485 nt
Organism: Balaenoptera acutorostrata (minke whale)
Lineage: Eukaryota; Metazoa; Chordata; Mammalia; Artiodactyla; Balaenopteridae
Exons: 4
Source: RefSeq, a predicted model, not a curated record
GCCCAGCGAGCCCUGGCUCCUGCGCCUUGACUCCUGACGGGCGGUGGCCACAUUCCUCCCGUCAACAAGGGGGGCACCGAGGCCCACAGUGUGGGGGACUUCGCAGGCAGCCGUCAGAGGCACCUGCUGCGUCCGGCCCUGCAACCUGCCUUAGCUCAAGCCACUCCCCACCGAGGUAAACACCUAGGAGUGGGGUGGCUGGGCUGUAUGGUUUCAGUAUAACUCAGCAUGACACUAUUACUGAUGGCUUCCCUGGUGGCACAGUGGUUAAGAAUCCGCCUGCCAAUUCAGGGGACACGAGUUUGAGCCCUGGUCCCCAAAGAUCCCACAUGCCAUGGAGCAACUAAGCCCAUGCACUACAACCACUGAACCUGUGCUCUAGAGCCCGCGAGCCACAACUGCUGAAACCCGUGCACCUAGAGUCCGUGCUCUGCAACAAGAGAAGCCACCGCAAUGAGAGGCCCGUGCACCGCAACUAAGAGUAG